UACGGGGGGGGCAAGCGUUGUUCGGAAUUACUGGGCGUAAAGGGCUCGUAGGCGGCCAACUAAGUCAGACGUGAAAUCCCUAGGCUCAACCUAGGAACUGCGUCUGAUACUGGAUGGCUUGAAUUCGGGAGAGGGAUGCAGAAUUCCAGGUGUAGCGGUGAAAUGCGUAGAUAUCUGGAGGAAUACCGGUGGCGAAGGCGGCAUCCUGGACCGACAUUGACGCUGAUGAGCGAAAGCCAGGGGAGCAAACGGG
RNAcentral lists this ribosomal RNA (253 nucleotides) under uncultured bacterium. RNAcentral describes it as "partial 16S ribosomal RNA". It matches the Rfam family "Bacterial small subunit ribosomal RNA", at positions 524 to 776 of the family's 1533-position model. The record is from RNAcentral.